RNAcentral lists this ribosomal RNA (253 nucleotides) under uncultured bacterium. RNAcentral describes it as "partial 16S ribosomal RNA". It matches the Rfam family "Bacterial small subunit ribosomal RNA", at positions 524 to 776 of the family's 1533-position model. The record is from RNAcentral.
UACGAAGGGUGCAAGCGUUACUCGGAAUUACUGGGCGUAAAGCGUGCGUAGGUGGUUCGUUAAGUCUGUCGUGAAAGCCCCGGGCUCAACCUGGGAACGGCGAUGGAUACUGGCGAGCUAGAGUGCGGUAGAGGGCGGUGGAAUUCCCGGUGUAGCAGUGAAAUGCGUAGAGAUCGGGAGGAACAUCAGUGGCGAAGGCGGCCGCCUGGACCAGCACUGACACUGAGGCACGAAAGCGUGGGGAGCAAACAGG